RNAcentral lists this ribosomal RNA (412 nucleotides) under uncultured bacterium. Its description in RNAcentral is "bacterial SSU rRNA". It matches the Rfam family "Bacterial small subunit ribosomal RNA", at positions 8 to 422 of the family's 1533-position model. The record is from RNAcentral.
AGAGUUUGAUCCUGGCUCAGAUUGAACGCUGGCGGCAUGCCUUACACAUGCAAGUCGAACGGCAGCACGGGAGCAAUCCUGGUGGCGAGUGGCGAACGGGUGAGUAAUAUAUCGGAACGUGCCCAGUCGUGGGGGAUAACGUAGCGAAAGCUACGCUAAUACCGCAUACGAUCUAUAGAUGAAAGCGGGGGAUCGCAAGACCUCGCGCGAUUGGAGCGGCCGAUAUCAGAUUAGCUAGUUGGUGGGGUAAAAGCCCACCAAGGCGACGAUCUGUAGCUGGUCUGAGAGGACGACCAGCCACACUGGAACUGAGACACGGUCCAGACUCCUACGGGAGGCAGCAGUGGGGAAUUUUGGACAAUGGGCGCAAGCCUGAUCCAGCAAUGCCGCGUGCAGGACGAAGGCCUUCGGG